Molecule: ribosomal RNA, 524 nt
Filed under: uncultured bacterium
Lineage: Bacteria
Description: partial 16S ribosomal RNA
Rfam family: Bacterial small subunit ribosomal RNA
Source: RNAcentral
GACGAACGCUGGCGGCGUGCCUAAUACAUGCAAGUCGAGCGCAGGAAACUGACGGAACUCUUCGGAGGGAAGGCAGCGGAAUGAGCGGCGGACGGGUGAGUAACACGUAAGGAGCCUGCCUCAAGGAUUGGGAUAACUCCGAGAAAUCGGAGCUAAUACCGGAUAGUUCAUCGGACCGCAUGGUCCGGUGAUGAAAGGCGCUUCGGCGUCACCUUGAGAUGGCCUUGCGGUGCAUUAGCUAGUUGGUGGGGUAACGGCCCACCAAGGCGACGAUGCAUAGCCGACCUGAGAGGGUGAUCGGCCACACUGGGACUGAGACACGGCCCAGACUCCUACGGGAGGCAGCAGUAGGGAAUCUUCCACAAUGGACGAAAGUCUGAUGGAGCAACGCCGCGUGAGUGAUGAAGGUUUUCGGAUCGUAAAACUCUGUUGUAAGGGAAGAACACGUACGAGAGGAAAUGCUCGUACCUUGACGGUACCUUACGAGAAAGCCACGGCUAACUACGUGCCAGCAGCCGCUGUAA